UAGCUUUUUAGCAUUGGAGUCAGAGACCCUUCCUCUAAAUGUUCUGGGUCAGUAGGCUACACAGUCAUGUGGAAGAAGGCUGAUUUGACAGAUCUCCAGAAGACAGUCAUUGACACCCUCCACAAGUCGAGAAAGCUACAAAAGUACUACUAAAGUAGCUGAUUGCUGUGUCCAAGCAUAUUAAUAGAAAGCCUGCACCUGCCUCACUGGGGACUCAUCAUCAGAAAUGUGGCAAAAUUGCUUCCCAGCUGCCUGCCUGUCUGCCUACUCCUGGGUGUACCAGUCUGUGAAAUCACUGCUAAGCACCGCUGAGCCUGCCAGCAAGCAUGUAUUAUUGAUUUAUAUUGAAAACUGUUAACAAGAAAAAGUGUGGGCCUGCACUGCUCCUGCCGCAUAUCACGGUAACAGAAAGUGCCAGGUCUGCCGUUACUUUCCACUGCAGGUUGUUUAUAAAAAAGUGACUUCUGUUUCUAGUUCUUUGUCUUUUGCUGCAAAAAUAAUUUACAUAUUUCAACAACAAUUUGUAAAAGAUUUAUAACACACUAUUGGACACUAAAGUUUUAGAUAAGUUUAAAGAUGUUUAAACUUUUUUCAAUUACUUCCACUUCUCUAUAGUCAAAAGUUGAGCGUAUAAUCAAUGACACAUUAUGUCAACUUUUAUAAAGGGUAAAGUGUAGCACAGUGCUGUCACUCUUAUCCCAUCAUAACCCUAUCUGGGAAAGGCCGAGACAAGAAAACUGUUUAAAAAUAUGAUGUAAUAGCAAGGUACCGGUUAUUUUUGUUUGUGUUGAACUAAAUCUUUAUUAAUUUGUUCAGAUUUUUUUUUAAUCAUUGUUUUCUGUUAAAAGACCCAUUUAUCAGUUUUUUGUCACUGGUUAUCAGAUGUUUCUUUAAAAUGUGCUGGUAGUUCAAAGAACUCGAUGCGAUUUUCUUGAACUAGAAGCUUUGGGAGGGAACAGCUCCCCAGCAUCACAGACCCUCUGCCAAACUUACAGUGAGCAUGAGGUGUUUUUCCACAUAUUUAUUCUUUGUUUGAAACCAAACGAACCAAAAGUGUUCUUGACUAGCUCAAUCUGAACAAUCAUUUGUAAAUAGCAUUUAAUGGUUGCUAUGGAGACUUAGUGACUUAGAUGCCAUUCAAUGCUGCAGUUUCCUAACAAUGGUGUCAAGAUAAAAUUGCAUCUUCAUCCAUCCUUGUUUGUCAUAUUUGCUGUUGUUUUAAACAUGUUUUUUUACUAUUGGUCUGACUGUAGAUAUGGGCAGGUUUUAGGCAAGCAGUUAUUGUUCUUGUAGCCAUGUCCUAACUUAUAAAUAUCAACACACAUCUGCUUCAAUAAAAUGGUAUGUUCUCUU
This is a long non-coding RNA of Girardinichthys multiradiatus, 1353 nucleotides long. RefSeq lists it as uncharacterized. The transcript is spliced from 2 exons. The record is from RefSeq and is a predicted model, not a curated record. Lineage: Eukaryota; Metazoa; Chordata; Actinopteri; Cyprinodontiformes; Goodeidae.